This 536-nucleotide long non-coding RNA is filed under the name Capsicum annuum. RNAcentral's name for it is "long non-coding RNA (CANN_LNC006117)". Lineage: Eukaryota; Viridiplantae; Streptophyta; Magnoliopsida; Solanales; Solanaceae. The record is from RNAcentral.
UCUCGCCUCUUUUCUCUUAACAUUACUGUCUUUUCCCAUUCCUUUAACCAACAAGAAAUUCAUUUGUUUUAAUAUACCUAUAAAUAUAAAUUAUGGUUGAGAUUUUUUUAUUCUUUUUUAUUAUUUUCUUUUAUGGAUUUUCUGGUGUGUGUGAUCGGAACAAUAACAGGAAUAGGAAAAGGGGCGGCGCAGCACUACCUUCACCGGUCGGAAGCGUGGGAAAAGAGAGAGGGGUAAAUGGCGACAGAUCUAUUUGGAGACAAGAUGAUUCGCCAGAUUUGGGGGAAUCGGAUCUGGUUUCGGGUGGUGAUUCUGGCUACGGGGAGGGGAGAAGAGAUGGCAGGGAUGUUCACAGGCGGUAGGUCACCGGUUUUAAUGGAUUUUUCGGCGAUGUAUCAUAUGCCGAUUUAAAUGGGUUUUCAUCGAAAAACAUGAUUCUUCUCCGAUUCAAAUUUUUGUUAUUAUUUACUAAAUUAAACACCAAAUUUUACUGACUUUUUUUUUUACUGUUUUCAGCAAUUUCUUGGUACAUCCGU